UACGUAGGGGGCUAGCGUUGUCCGGAAUCAUUGGGCGUAAAGCGCGUGUAGGCGGCCCGGUAAGUCCGCUGUGAAAGUCGGGGGCUCAACCUGGGAAUUGCAUUCGAGACUGCAUUGCUGGAGUACGGAAGAGGAAGGCGGAAUUCCCGGUGUAGCGGUGAAAUGCGUAGAUAUCGGGAGGAACAACAGUGGCGAAGGCGGCCUUCUGGGCCAGUACUGACACUCAAGUGCGAAAGCGUGGGGAGCAAACAGG
This 253-nucleotide ribosomal RNA is filed under the name uncultured bacterium. Its description in RNAcentral is "partial 16S ribosomal RNA". It matches the Rfam family "Bacterial small subunit ribosomal RNA", at positions 524 to 776 of the family's 1533-position model. The record is from RNAcentral.